GACGAACGCUGGCGGCGUGCUUAACACAUGCAAGUCGAACGAAAAGAGGGAAAGAGCCUGCUCUUUCCGGAAUUGAGUGGCAAACGGGUGAGUAACACGUAAACAACCUGCCUUCAGGAUGGGGACAACAGACGGAAACGACUGCUAAUACCGAAUAAGUUCCAAGAGCCGCAUGGCCCAUGGAAGAAAAGGUGGCCUCUACCUGUAAGCGAUCGCCUGAAGAGGGGUUUGCGUCUGAUUAGCUGGUUGGAGGGGUAACGGCCCACCAAGGCGACGAUCAGUAGCCGGUCUGAGAGGAUGAACGGCCACACUGGAACUGAGACACGGUCCAGACUCCUACGGGAGGCAGCAGUGGGGAAUCUUCCGAAAUGGGCGAAAGCCUGACGGAGCAACGCCGCGUGAGUGAUGACGGCCUUCGGGUUGUAAAACUCUGUGAUCCGGGACGAAAAGGCAGAGUGCGAAGAACAAACUGCAUUGACGGUACCGGAAAAGCAAGCCACGGCUAACUACGUG
This 513-nucleotide ribosomal RNA is filed under the name uncultured bacterium. RNAcentral's name for it is "partial 16S ribosomal RNA". It matches the Rfam family "Bacterial small subunit ribosomal RNA", at positions 28 to 507 of the family's 1533-position model. The record is from RNAcentral.